This is a long non-coding RNA of Pseudophryne corroboree (corroboree frog), 1034 nucleotides long. RefSeq lists it as uncharacterized. Lineage: Eukaryota; Metazoa; Chordata; Amphibia; Anura; Myobatrachidae. The record is from RefSeq and is a predicted model, not a curated record. The transcript is spliced from 5 exons.
GAGGUCCAGCCUGUCAAUCACAUAGAAGCUCCGCCCCUCCAGGCUGGAACGAGGAGCUGCACUGCUGCUGCCCUCUUGAUGCUAUAGUACAGCGUGUGUGUCAUGGAUCGAGAGCUGCAGUUUAUUGUUUUCUGAAGACUGGAUUCUUCUUGGACAAGGGAAGGCUACCAAGCACCGGUAAGGACUAGAUAUCACAAACCGCUUCCAGCAAGUCAGACAGAUGGUCCGCUACUUUAAAUGUUUGUAUGUUGUUAUGGUGAUGGGAGUCACUUUAGGAUGACGUAAUCAGCUGUGGCCGGAAAGGAGGAGGGUUUUUCCUCAACCGCCGGCGCAGCGUUUUUUCACGGGUGCACGUGUAUUUAAGAUGGAACGGCAGGUGCAACAGAAAUUGAUUUGCAAUGCGUGCAACAUAAUGCCGUUGAACUGAGAAAGGGACCGGAAGUGGGGCAUAUGUAAUGGCGUCGAAGGACGGAAGUGGCAAGGCGGCCAUCUUGUGUGAGGCAUGUGGACGGAGGAGACCUCAAGCGGGACACAUACUACUUCCUGGGGUGAUAAUUAUUGCCGGACCGGAUCUGGAUUAAGCACAUCAAGGACUCACCUGUCUGCGUAAAGAAUCGAGCGGCAGGAAGUGGAUUCAUGUCACUUCCGGAAUUGAUGUCAUUUCCGUUUUUCCCCGUUCUACACACUUAUGCCCGGGACUAUGAAUUGAUAUAUCUGGUUUAGGUACCCACAUGAGUAAUGAUAUAGCAUUAUACACAUUCCGGGACAAUGCCUUUCAAUUUACACACCUGUGUCCCAUACAUAAUUAGGAUAGUAUAAAAGUUAAGUUAGAAGGAGGUCUCUCAUACCUUGACAAAGACCCUGGAACGGGCCGAAACGCGUUGGUGGAGAGAUCUAUCUUGGAAGAACAUACCCGUAGGAGACUAGGAGGAGAUCAGAUUGACGGGGCCCCGUUCUGUCUGUAUACCAUCUUCUUCCCCUCCGACCCUCCAGGGUAUGAUCACCAUUGUUUUUACCAGUGUUUGUUUGUUUGA